ACAUACGACCAUACCCACUGGAGAACUCGGGAUCCCGUCCGCUCUCCCAUAGAUAAACCGGUGAGGGCCGGAUUAGUAGUUGGGUCGGUGACGACCAGCGAAUACCUGGUGUUGUAUGUU
This is a non-coding RNA of Colletotrichum orbiculare MAFF 240422, 120 nucleotides long. The record is from Rfam. Lineage: Eukaryota; Fungi; Ascomycota; Sordariomycetes; Glomerellales; Glomerellaceae.